This 1114-nucleotide long non-coding RNA is filed under the name Dromaius novaehollandiae (emu). RNAcentral's name for it is "lncRNA (ENSDNVG00000017287.1)". Lineage: Eukaryota; Metazoa; Chordata; Aves; Casuariiformes; Dromaiidae. The record is from RNAcentral.
UCUGAUGCCUUUAGYGACUGUAUUUAGGUUGCAUGAUGAAUAUAGCAUCGAAGGCCUGCUAACUUUACUCUUAAUUAUCUUUUCUUUUCCUGGUAUCCUUUAGCUGGUGAACAGGCUUUCAGAUCUAGAGGUGUAGUUCUUUUUGUUCAGUCUGCCCUUUUUUAAGGUCUCUAGUUACAAAUAUCACACCUUGCAGCGGCCAUUUGCCGAGUUAAAGCUGGCGCAUCUACAACCGUGGCUGUUGUCCUCGCUUCCCGCAGCCGCCGGCCUCUGAACAGCCAGCGUUCCUGAUCGUAGCUGUGCCRCCGACUCCCUCCGUGCUCCUCGGCCAGUCGUCUCGCUCUGUCGGUGCUGUGCGUCGGCACUGCCACGGGUCCGGGCUCAGCUGGGUGAUCUCGGAGCUGCUUGGAAGYGCUCGCCGAGGAAUCGUUGCAGGUCCUGCCCUCCGGCUGUGCAGAAAGGCACGUCUCUGAGCUUCCUCCCUGGGAGAGCAGGGCUCUGCGUCCACGUCAUCUGCACGGGCGGCUCCAAAGGCAACGUCUGAUCUCCCGUCYGUGCUGCGCUGACCCGGGGAAUGGAUGCUCCCUCCCAGAGAAGGAGGACAGAGCUGCUGAUGACAACUGACCUCAGUGCAUGUAAGCAAAUCUCAAAAUAAAACCUGCAUUAGCCUUCRCAUAUUGGUAUUGCUGUGCUCUGUUCUGUGCCGCUUGACAAGGGUUACUUAAAAGAAUUUACGUUAUGUUAUCUGAACUAUUUUGUAUGUCCAGGUACUCUGGGAUAAAAGCAUAUUGCUGUCCUGUAAUUGCGGGCAUCCUCAGAUCCUCUCGAGGCUUGAUGAGUACUCUGCUGGAUCAAAGUCUCCUCUCCGGUGGUGAUUUGUUUAAACUCUUGACUGCAGCGAGCAAAAGGAUAAGGACCGCAAGGAGGGAAGAGAGGAUUUGGGGUUCUCRCCAUCGCGGAACGACUAAGGCAGGCUGUGAGCAGGCUCCUCGCUGGCGAUACUGGACACAGCUCGCUGCAACGCUGCUUUUCCACCCGCUGACUGUCUGCCCCUCUCUGCCAGCCAAACUGGUGCUUAAUUGGUAAGGAAAUUAGCCAGCAGCAUCCUAGAUCU